UUUUAUAGUCUUUAUUCAUUUGUUUGUCAGUAUAAAUUCUUAUUUUACAUCUAGCUUUAAGUUCUUGCAGUUCCCUAACUAUUUGGCGCAUAGUUAAUUAAUCUAUUAAGUACUGAUGUUUGUGCAGAAGUUGAAUCAUAAUAUUCUUUAUUCUGACUUUAACUUUCUUACAUUCAAUUCUUUCAUCUGAAGCACACUUCCACUAUGCUUAUGUUAUCUUGAAAAGCAUGCACUCCAUAAGUUCUUAAUUUUGUAAACUUGAAUGGAAUUUUUAAUACCUAUGUACUCCAGUAUUCUUUCUACUAGUUACUUCGUGUAGUAGGUUUCUCUUUGACUUGAUAUAAUGAUUCUUGAAGACAUAGUUGGUCAGUUUGAUCUGUUAAUGACUAGGUGAUUUUGUGUUUGUCUGAUGGAUUUAAAUUAAUGAGUCUGUUUCUAUUCUUGUGUAGCUUAAUCGAGCGACUUGUUUAUCAUGUAUUUCCAUAUCUAAUUUUAGAGUUCAAAAAAAAAAAAAAAAAAGAAUUGUUUUGUUAUGAAAUGGAGAUACAUCAUUCUGAGAAAGGAAAAAAAUGAGAAAGUGUCGGGGAAAAUGCAUAGCAGCAAUGUGCAACUCCUUUUAACAGAGGAAGAUUGUUAAUAGCCCUCCAAGAUCAAUUAAUGUAGGAGAAAAAGAUCGAUUCAUUGUGCUUUGAAGCCUUAAUUCAAACUCUUGUUUAUGUCCAUGAUCAACGCUUUCCCCAACAAUUUUAGCUCUCUUGGCCAGGUACCAUUGCUUUUAGGGAGAAACAGAAGCUAUAAUACUAAAAGAUAAGUGUUGAUUUGAGCUCCCAGCCAUGGCAAUUUUAUCCUCGUUACUCAACCUUCUGGUGCAUACUAGCAGGAUGAUAUUAAAUGUAGUUAUAACGUGGUAUACUAGUCUUUUGCCAAACAAAGAACUUUGUUUUUCUUCUUCAGAGAUGCUCACAAGCGCUUCACAUGGAGUAGUUUGUGUCACAAGGUUUCCGAUGCUAAUGUUCAAUCAUGGAUAAGCAUUGCCGCUGAAGCAGAGGUGGGUUCACUUAUCCUGAAGGAUUCACCUGGCCACGCUGUGUAUGGGAAAUAAGUGCGUGUAUGGGACACAAUUGCAGUAAUUGGUUGCAUCAUCCAGUAAUACCAUUAACCAUUGGGAUGAGGGGCAAGACUACUUAGGAACCGAGAACUUGUGAAGACACGAGCUUGCGAACACCUAGAACAAUCAUUUGUUGAAACUUUCAUCAACUGGCAUACAGGUAGUGUUCUAGGUCCUCAAUAUCCUAUUUAAUGACAAUUUCUUUAUCAGUACCUUUGUGUGUAGUUUUCAGUCUUAACUUGCCUCAGAUUAAAGUAGAAAACAGUGGUGAAGAAUGAUGUAACUUUUUGACGAAAGUGAGCUAUGAUGAAAUCAGAAAUGACUACAAAGUUGCACAUAACUAAAUAGCUAUCAAGGAGAGUCUCCUACUAUUAUUACAGAGUUCAUCAAGAAUAAAGAAACUUUUCAUAAUAUGAAACGCAUUCACAAAGAAGAGAAUUUUCUAUAUAGAACACAGGAUAGGUGUUAACACCAUUCACCUAGGUGCAGUGGCAAGAGAUUGAAUACUAACUUAUUCUAAGAACGAAGAAACUUUUCAUGAUAUGCAACGCAUUCACAAAGAAGAGAAUUUUCUAUAUAGAAUACAGGACAGGUGUUUACACCAUUCACCUAGGUGCAGUGGCAAGAAUUUGAAUGCUAACUUAUUCUAAGAAAUUAGCCUUUAAUUUAAUUAAAAAUUGACUAGAAUAUAUGUUGCUUGUCGGAUAGCUAAUUAUAUUUGACGGA
Lycium ferocissimum is the source of this 1834-nucleotide long non-coding RNA. RefSeq lists it as uncharacterized. The transcript is spliced from 3 exons. The record is from RefSeq and is a predicted model, not a curated record. NCBI's taxonomy places the organism in Eukaryota, Viridiplantae, Streptophyta, Magnoliopsida, Solanales, Solanaceae.